RNAcentral lists this ribosomal RNA (488 nucleotides) under uncultured bacterium. RNAcentral describes it as "bacterial SSU rRNA". It matches the Rfam family "Bacterial small subunit ribosomal RNA", at positions 63 to 507 of the family's 1533-position model. The record is from RNAcentral.
CGAGCGCACUGGCCCAACUGAUAUGACGUGCUUGCACUGAUUUGACGAUGGAUUACCAGUGAGCGGCGGACGGGUGAGUAACACGUGGGCAACCUGCCCUAAAGCGGGGGAUAACAUUUGGAAACAGGUGCUAAUACCGCAUAACUACGAAAACCACAUGGUUUUCGUAUCAAAGAUGGUUUCGGCUAUCACUUUAGGAUGGGCCCGCGGUGCAUUAGCUAGUUGGUAGGGUAACGGCCUACCAAGGCAAUGAUGCAUAGCCGAGUUGAGAGACUGAUCGGCCACAAUGGAACUGAGACACGGUCCAUACUCCUACGGGAGGCAGCAGUAGGGAAUCUUCCACAAUGGGCGCAAGCCUGAUGGAGCAACACCGCGUGAGUGAAGAAGGGUUUCGGCUCGUAAAACUCUGUUGUUGAAGAAGAACGUGCAUGAGAGUAACUGUUCAUGCAGUGACGGUAUUCAACCAGAAAGUCACGGCUAACUACGUG